ACUCAAAGGAAUUGACGGGGGCCCGCACAAGCGGCGGAGCAUGUUGCUUAAUUCGACGCAACGCGAAGAACCUUACCAAGGUUUGACAUGCAGGGAAAAGCCGUGGAGACACGGUGUCCGUAAGGGCCCUGCACAGGUGGUGCAUGGCUGUCGUCAGCUCGUGUCGUGAGAUGUUGGGUUAAGUCCCGCAACGAGCGCAACCCUCGUCCUAUGUUGCCAGCGGGUAAUGCCGGGGACUCAUAGGAGACUGCCGGGGUCAACUCGGAGGAAGGUGGGGAUGAGGUCAAGUCAUCAUGCCCCGUAAGUCUUGGGCUGCAAACAUGCUACAAUGGCCGGUACAGAGGGCUGCGAAACCGCAAGGUGGAGCGAAUCUCAAAAAGCCGGUCUCAGUUCGGAUUGGGGUCGAGUUGCAGACCCCAUGAAGUCGGAGUCGCUAGUAAUCGCAGAUCAGCAACGCUGCGGUGAAUACGUUCCCGGGCCUUGUACACACCGCCCGU
RNAcentral lists this ribosomal RNA (497 nucleotides) under uncultured bacterium. Its description in RNAcentral is "bacterial SSU rRNA". It matches the Rfam family "Bacterial small subunit ribosomal RNA", at positions 899 to 1397 of the family's 1533-position model. The record is from RNAcentral.